This 818-nucleotide long non-coding RNA is filed under the name Monodelphis domestica (gray short-tailed opossum). Its description in RNAcentral is "lncRNA (ENSMODG00000035505.2)". The record is from RNAcentral. Lineage: Eukaryota; Metazoa; Chordata; Mammalia; Didelphimorphia; Didelphidae.
GGUGACCCCGGCUCGGCCUUCAAGGAUGCUGAACACGGUCUCUCAGUUCCUCCCGGGGUCACGGUGGCCCUCUCCCACCCCAGACCAACGUCCCAGCCAGCCCCUCCCCUCAUCACCUCUUUCCCUCUCCCCAAUUCAGUAAAACUCCUGAUUCGUGUGAGCUCACACAGCUCAAUAGCAUUUCUAUUCUCUGUCAGCGACUCCCAUUGAGGAAUUUGCUGCGAUUCAGGAGACGUUGCCGAUCCCAGGGAAAGGGGAUGACCCCGUCAGCUUUUUUUCCUGAGCUCAAUGUUUACUGUCGACAAGGUUUUUUUUCACAUGAUUUGCUGAUGGUGACAAGGGCUGUCAUCCUGGCAAAACAUCCCCAGCCAACACAGCAUUUCAAAAACAGAACUUUUUUGUUUCCCUCAGAAGCCACUGCGGAAGGGUGGAUGACAACCCAAUGUCAUUUGAGUGACUUUGGAGCUCAUUUAGGAGAUCCUAGACUAUUCCAGAAUAUGAUGAAAUCAGCACAAAGUCAUAGGUGAACAGUGUGUAGAGAACCUCCAUCAGAAGUAAAUAGUGCUUUUGUCCAAAGGAGGGUCAGUUUCUCUUACUAAAUGACUAUAAUAUCAUAGCUGGGUGGCUCAAUGGAUUGAGAGCCAGGUCUAGAGACAAAAGAUCCUGGGUUCAAAUAUGGCCUCAGACACUUCCCAGCUGUGUGACCCUAGGCAAGUCACUUACCCCCAUUGCCUAGCCCUUACCACUCUUCUGCCUUGGAGCCAAUACACAGUAUUGGUUCUAAGGUGGAAGGUAAGGGAUUAAAAAUGUUUUUAAUU